AGUGGCGGACGGGUGAGUAACACGUGAGCAACCUCGCCUUUCAGAGAGGAGUAGUUUCUGGAAACGGAUGGUAAUACCUCAUAACAUAUGAAUUUGGCAUCUUAUUCAUAUCAAAGAUUUUAUCGCUGAAAGAUGGGCUCGCGUCUGAUUAGCUUGUUGGUGAGGUAACGGCCCACCAAGGCAACGAUCAGUAGCCGGACUGAGAGGUUGAACGGCCACAUUGGGACUGAGACACGGCCCAGACUCCUACGGGAGGCAGCAGUGGGGAAUAUUGCACAAUGGGCGCAAGCCUGAUGCAGCGAUGCCGCGUGAGGGAAGAAGGUUUUCGGAUUGUAAACCUCUGUCAUCGGGGACGAAAAUGACGGUACCCGAGAAGGAAGCUCCGGCUAACUACGUGCCAGCAGCGGC
This 408-nucleotide ribosomal RNA is filed under the name uncultured bacterium. RNAcentral describes it as "bacterial SSU rRNA". It matches the Rfam family "Bacterial small subunit ribosomal RNA", at positions 94 to 518 of the family's 1533-position model. The record is from RNAcentral.